CCUACGGGGUGCAGCAGUGGGGAAUAUUGGGCAAUGGACGCAAGUCUGACCCAGUAACGCCGCGUGAAGGAAGAAGGCUUUCGGGUUGUAAACUUCUUUUAAGGGGGAAGAGGAGAAGACGGUACCCCUUGAAUAAGCCACGGCUAACUACGUGCCAGCAGCCGCGGUAAUACGUAGGUGGCAAGCGUUGUCCGGAUUAACUGGGUGUAAAGGGCGUGCAGCCGGGCCGACAAGUCAGAUGUGAAAUCCGCGGGCUUAACCCGCGAACUGCAUUUGAAACUAUAGGUCUUGAGGGACGGAGAGGUAAUCGGAAUUCCUUGUGUAGCGGUGAAAUGCGUAGAUAUAAGGAAGAACACCGGUGGCGAAGGCGGAUUACUGGACGGUAACUGACGGUGAGGCGCGAAGGCGUGGGAGCAAACAGGAUUAGAUACCCCUGUAGGC
Molecule: ribosomal RNA, 441 nt
Filed under: uncultured bacterium
Lineage: Bacteria
Description: partial 16S ribosomal RNA
Rfam family: Bacterial small subunit ribosomal RNA
Source: RNAcentral